CUACGUGCCAGCAGCCGCGGUAAUACGGAGGGUGCGAGCGUUAAUCGGAAUAACUGGGCGUAAAGGGCACGCAGGCGGUGACUUAAGUGAGGUGUGAAAGCCCCGGGCUCAACCUGGGAACUGCGUUCUGAACUGGGUGACUAGAGUGUGUCAGAGGGAGGUAGAAUUCCACGUGUAGCAGUGAAAUGCGUAGAGAUGUGGAGGAAUACCGAUGGCGAAGGCAGCCUCCUGGGAUAACACUGACGUUCAUGCCCGAAAGCGUGGGUAGCAAACAGGAUUAGAUACCCUGGUAGUCCACGCCGUAAACGAUGAGUGCUAGGUGUUAGACCCUUUCCGGGGUUUAGUGCCGCAGCUAACGCAUUAAGCACUCCGCCUGGGGAGUACGACCGCAAGGUUGAAACUCAAAGGAAUUGACGGGGGCCCGCACAAGCGGUGGAGCAUGUGGUUUAAUUCGAAGCAACGCGAAGAACCUUACCAGGUCUUGACAUCCCUCKACCGCUCUAGAGAUAG
Molecule: ribosomal RNA, 510 nt
Filed under: uncultured bacterium
Lineage: Bacteria
Description: bacterial SSU rRNA
Rfam family: Bacterial small subunit ribosomal RNA
Source: RNAcentral